Molecule: ribosomal RNA, 1599 nt
Filed under: Clostridium perfringens
Lineage: Bacteria; Bacillati; Bacillota; Clostridia; Eubacteriales; Clostridiaceae
Description: partial 23S ribosomal RNA
Rfam family: Bacterial large subunit ribosomal RNA
Source: RNAcentral
CGUAACCGGGCUGAAGUCGUACCGUAAGGAGCGGUGGACUGGUUACGAGUGAGAAUGUUGGCAUCAGUAGCGAGAUGUGGGUGAGAAUCCCACAGGCCGAAAACCUAAGGUUUCCUCAGGAAGGUUCGUCCGCUGAGGGUUAGUCGGGACCUAAGCCGAGGCCGAAAGGCGUAGGUGAUGGACAACUGGUUGAUAUUCCAGUACCACUACCAUCGUUAUUAUCGAUGGCGUGACGCAGGAGGAUAGUGUGUGCUAGCUAUUGGAUGCUAGUCUAAGCGUUUAGGCAGUGAGAGUAGGCAAAUCCGCUCUCAUAAUGCUGAGGCGUGAUGGGGAAGGUUCUACGGAACCGAAGUACAUGAUUCCACGCUGCCAAGAAAAGCGUCUAGAGAGAGAAGUAGUGCCCGUACCGCAAACCGACACAGGUAGGUGAGGAGAGAAUCCUAAGGCCGGCGGAAGAAUUACAGUUAAGGAACUCGGCAAAUUGACCCCGUAAGUUCGCGAGAAGGGGUGCCUACGAGAGUAGGCCGCAGAGAAUAGGCCCAAGCAACUGUUUAGCAAAAACACAGGUCUCUGCUAAAGCGUAAGCUGAUGUAUAGGGGCUGACGCCUGCCCGGUGCUGGAAGGUUAAGGGGAACACUUAGCGCAAGCGAAGGUGUGAACUUAAGCCCCAGUAAACGGCGGCCGUAACUAUAACGGUCCUAAGGUAGCGAAAUUCCUUGUCAGGUAAGUUCUGACCCGCACGAAUGGCGUAAUGACUUGGGCACUGUCUCAACUGUAAAUCCGGCGAAGUUGUAGUGCGAGUGAAGAUGCUCGCUACCCGCGAUUGGACGGAAAGACCCCGUAGAGCUUUACUGUAGCUUAGCAUUGAGUUUUGGUAUUGUCUGUACAGGAUAGGUGGGAGACUAGGAAACCAGGGCGUCAGCCUUGGUGGAGUCAACCUUGGGAUACCACCCUGACAGUACUGAAAUUCUAACUGGCGGCCAUGAAUCUGGUCACAGGACAUUGUUAGGUGGGCAGUUUGACUGGGGCGGUCGCCUCCUAAAAAGUAACGGAGGCGCCCAAAGGUUCCCUCAGAACGGUCGGAAAUCGUUCGAAGAGUGCAAAGGCAGAAGGGAGCCUGACUGCGACACCCACAAGUGGAGCAGGGACGAAAGUCGGGCUUAGUGAUCCGGUGGUACCUCGUGGGAGGGCCAUCGCUCAACGGAUAAAAGCUACCUCGGGGAUAACAGGCUGAUCUCCCCCAAGAGUCCACAUCGACGGGGAGGUUUGGCACCUCGAUGUCGGCUCGUCGCAUCCUGGGGCUGAAGUAGGUCCCAAGGGUUGGGCUGUUCGCCCAUUAAAGCGGCACGCGAGCUGGGUUCAGAACGUCGUGAGACAGUUCGGUCCCUAUCCGUCGCGGGCGUAGGAAAUUUGAGAGGAGCUGUCCUUAGUACGAGAGGACCGGGAUGGACUGACCUCUGGUGUACCAGUUGUUCCGCCAGGAGCACAGCUGGGUAGCUAAGUCGGGAAUGGAUAAACGCUGAAAGCAUCUAAGCGUGAAGCCAACCUCAAGAUGAGAUUUCCCAUAGCGUAAGCUAGUAAGAUCCCUUGAAGAACACA